CACCUACGGGACGCAGCAGUGAGGAAUAUUGGUCAAUGGGCGGGAGCCUGAACCAGCCAAGUCGCGUGAGGGAAGACGGUCCUAUGGAUUGUAAACCUCUUUAGGCGGGGAGCAAUGCCGGGCACGCGUGCCCGGAGGGAGAGUACCCGCAGAAUAAGCAUCGGCUAACUCCGUGCCAGCAGCCGCGGUAAUACGGAGGAUGCGAGCGUUAUCCGGAUUUAUUGGGUUUAAAGGGUGCGUAGGCGGGAUGCCAAGUCAGCGGUAAAAAUGCGGUGCUCAACGCCUGCGAGCCGUUGAAACUGGCG
Molecule: ribosomal RNA, 305 nt
Filed under: uncultured bacterium
Lineage: Bacteria
Description: bacterial SSU rRNA
Rfam family: Bacterial small subunit ribosomal RNA
Source: RNAcentral